GACGAACGCUGGCGGCGUGCUUAACACAUGCAAGUCGAACGAAAAGAGGGAAAGAGCUUGCUCUUUCCGGAAUUGAGUGGCAAACGGGUGAGUAACACGUAAACAACCUGCCUUCAGGAUGGGGACAACAGACGGAAACGACUGCUAAUACCGAAUAAGUUCCAAGAGCCGCAUGGCCCAUGGAAGAAAAGGUGGCCUCUACCUGUAAGCUAUCGCCUGAAGAGGGGUUUGCGUCUGAUUAGCUGGUUGGAGGGGUAACGGCCCACCAAGGCGACGAUCAGUAGCCGGUCUGAGAGGAUGAACGGCCACACUGGAACUGAGACACGGUCCAGACUCCUACGGGAGGCAGCAGAGGGGAAUCUUCCGCAAUGGGCGAAAGCCUGACGGAGCAACGCCGCGUGAUUGAUGACGGCCUUCGGGUUGUAAAAUGCUGGUGAGCCGGGAUGAAAAGGCAGAGUGCGAAGAACAAACUGCAUUGACGUUACCGGAAAAGCAAGCCACGGCUAACUACGUGUCAGCAGCCGGGGAAUACGUAUGGGGCAAGCGUUGUCCGGAAUUUGUGGGCGUAUGUUCGCGCAGGCGGUUUCCCUAUGCCCUUUUGGAAGUGCGUGGCUUAGCCUUGGAUGGGUAGAUGACUGUUGAAGUUUGAUGUGGGAGAUGAAGGUGAAUUGUUUGUGUUGCUGUGUGAUGUUUGUAUUUGUGUAUGAUGUGUUGGUUGUUUUGUUUUUGUUGUGUAUGUCUGGUGUUGGGGGUGGUGCUGGGUGUGUGUUGUGUUUUGUGUUUUUUUGUUGUUGUUGUAUGUUGUUGUGUGUGUGUGUUGUUGUUUUCUUGUGUAAUAAAAUGAAAAAAAAUGAUGUUGUAUAUGUUUGUGUGUUGAAUUAUGCCCCUGUGUUGUGGUGUAUUGUUGUUUGUGUUUUGUGUAUGUGUGUGGUGUGGUAGGGUGUGGUGUGUGGUAGUGUGUGGUGGUGUGUUGUGCUGCUGCGUGGUGUGUG
This 992-nucleotide ribosomal RNA is filed under the name uncultured Fusobacterium sp. RNAcentral describes it as "bacterial SSU rRNA". The stretch from base 1 to 551 matches the Rfam family "Bacterial small subunit ribosomal RNA", at positions 28 to 545 of the family's 1533-position model. Lineage: Bacteria; Fusobacteriati; Fusobacteriota; Fusobacteriia; Fusobacteriales; Fusobacteriaceae. The record is from RNAcentral.